AUUGAACGCUGGCGGCAGGCCUAACACAUGCAAGUCGAGCGCGCGGCGCGCGUGAGUAUUUUGUCUGGGAAACUGCCUGAUGGAGGGGGAUAACUACUGGACGCGGUAGCUAAUCCCGCAUACCAUCAGAUGUGCCCAUAUGGGAGUAGCUAGGAGGGGGGGUAGUGGCUCACCUAGGCGACGAUCCCUAGCUGGUCUGAGAGGAUGACCAGCCACACUGGAACUGAGACACGGGCCAGACUCCUACGUGAGGCAGCAGUGGGGAAUAUUGCACAAUGGGCGCAAGCCUGAUGCAGCCAUGCCGCGUGUGUGAAGAAGGCCUUCGGGUUGUAAAGCACUUUCAGCGAGGAGGCGUUACCCGCAGAAGAAGAACCGGCUAACUCCGUGCCAGCAGCCGCGGUAAUAC
Molecule: ribosomal RNA, 406 nt
Filed under: uncultured bacterium
Lineage: Bacteria
Description: partial 16S ribosomal RNA
Rfam family: Bacterial small subunit ribosomal RNA
Source: RNAcentral